UACGGAGGGUGCGAGCGUUGUCCGGAAUCACUGGGCGUAAAGGGCGCGUAGGCGGCGCGGUGAGUCAACGGUGAAAGCUCGGCGCUCAACGCCGAGUCGGCCGUCGAUACUCCCGUGCUCGAGCACUGUAGAGGCAGGUGGAAUUCCGGGUGUAGCGGUGGAAUGCGUAGAGAUCCGGAAGAACACCGGUGGCGAAGGCGGCCUGCUGGGCAGUAGCUGACGCUGAGGCGCGACAGCGUGGGGAGCAAACAGG
This 253-nucleotide ribosomal RNA is filed under the name uncultured bacterium. Its description in RNAcentral is "partial 16S ribosomal RNA". It matches the Rfam family "Bacterial small subunit ribosomal RNA", at positions 524 to 776 of the family's 1533-position model. The record is from RNAcentral.